Molecule: ribosomal RNA, 473 nt
Filed under: uncultured bacterium
Lineage: Bacteria
Description: bacterial SSU rRNA
Rfam family: Bacterial small subunit ribosomal RNA
Source: RNAcentral
CAUGCCUUACACAUGCAAGUCGAACGGCAGGCACGGGAAGCAAUCCUGGUGGCGAGUGGCGAACGGGUGAGUAAUAUAUCGGAACGUGCCCAGUCGUGGGGGAUAACGUAGCGAAAGCUACGCUAAUACCGCAUACGAUCUAUGGAUGAAANCGGGGGAUCGCAAGACCUCGCGCGAUUGGAGCGGCCGAUAUCAGAUUAGGUAGUUUGGUGAGGUAAAGGCUCACCAAGCCGACGAUCUGUAGCUGGUCUGAGAGGACGACCAGCCACACUGGGACUGAGACACGGCCCCAGACUCCUACGGGAGGCAGCAGUGGGGAAUUUUGGACAAUGGGCGCAAGCCUGAUCCAGCAAUGCCGCGUGCAGGAUGAAGGCCUUCGGGUUGUAAACUGCUUUUGUACGGAACGAAACGGUGAGCUCUAAUACAGUUUGCUAAUGACGGUACCGUAAGAAUAAGCACCGGCUAACUACGUG